Non-coding RNA from Pristionchus pacificus, 62 nucleotides. The record is from Rfam. Lineage: Eukaryota; Metazoa; Nematoda; Chromadorea; Rhabditida; Neodiplogasteridae.
UCUUCAUUUCUCGCACUCUCUCACACGGUCAGAGAGGCGAGAGAGUGUGCGAAAUGAAGAGA